Molecule: non-coding RNA, 698 nt
Organism: Paramuricea clavata
Lineage: Eukaryota; Metazoa; Cnidaria; Anthozoa; Malacalcyonacea; Plexauridae
Source: the annotation of a GenBank genome assembly
GGCAACUAUUAACUUAUCGUUGCGGUCACUCGGCUUAUUUUUAGUUGGAUAAUUUGACUCAGUCGGAUUUGUUACUUGUAUUUUCGGCGCGGUAAUUUUAUCAACACGAACAACAAGUCGUGAUUAAAGACGUACUGUACCAAACGUUUCAUUUUCGUGACAGGCCUUCGCUUGAAAUGUCGAAGUCGAAUAUCUGUUCAUGGCUUAAGUCGCAAGUUUAAAGAUUUUGUAGCUGCUGAAUCUGUGUGGUCGAGGGCAUAGUUUAUACAGGCGAAGAAUUAGUUUAUACAGUACAACUACAAGACAAGAUACUGUACGACCUUUCUUCACGAAGGACGAUGCUGAACUAUAUAUAUACCAAAGUUUUAAAGACCGCCGGACGAACGAGAUCGCAUGAGAGUUGAUAGUCACGCGACUUUGGUUAGCUGUUUUAAUGCUUCUCCAAACACUAUCAUGUAUUCUAUCAUAGUUAAAACAUAGUUGGGACACUCAUCAAACCUGUAUUUUGUUAAUCUAAAGCUUGAAAUGUCCCCUGUGAAGAAUGCGUGACUAGCAAAUCUCAUAAACUCUCACUGACAAGGACUUAAUUCUUAAAGAUUGUUUAACUCGGUGGACUAAAUAUUGUUACAAAAGGUAAGAUACAUUUCAAUUUGUUUCAAUGUGUACCAUAGGUCUAAAAAGAUGAAACGGUAGCAAAC